AUCUUUGCAUGGAUGAUGAUA
This 21-nucleotide small RNA is filed under the name Plasmodium falciparum 3D7. Its description in RNAcentral is "Pfa-mtR40b". Lineage: Eukaryota; Apicomplexa; Aconoidasida; Haemosporida; Plasmodiidae. The record is from RNAcentral.